AAAUAUUUGAUCCGCCCACUCAAUAUUGCCAUUUCACUUAUCCUUUCCCUCUCCUUUCUAUUCUUAUACAGGGUCUGGUAGUGUCCUUAUUUCCAUUGGUUGUUUCAUUGGUGCUUUAGUCUCAGGAGCAUAUUUCCGAGCACAUUUCUCACCUCAACACGUUGCUAAAUGACAGUCUGUCGUCUGGUAAGGGCUAAUGACUACUACUGUAACACCAUUAAAUACAGGCAUAUGCAUUUAAGAGUAAUGGUAACAGUAGUCUCGAGACUAUGGUAACAGAUAUGGGUAAUGUCUGUAAGAGUGUAGCAGCUUCUCCACUCCGGCUUUUGGUUGGUUUGUACUUAUCUACUCAUAGACUCAUUCUGUACUCUGAAAGUUCCUUGAAAGGCUCUCCCGUGUUGUUAUCAUGCUGCAGCAAUUAAAAGGGCCUAGUAGUGUCCUUAUUUUCCAUUGGUUGUUUCAUUGGUGCUUUAGUCUCUGGAGAUACACUACAGAUCAUGUGAUAAUCAAGUGACAUGUGCGUCAUUAUUUUGUAGCAUCAUUGGUGGUGCCUUCACUGCCUUGCAAGUAUCUUCUUUUAAUUUAUGGUGGCUAGUGAAGAAAGGGAAGAGCAAGAAAGCAGAUAAGACCCUCCACAGGUUACGUAAGGACUACACUGAGGAAGAGAUAAAGGAAGAACUGAACGACAUUGAGUUUACUGUACUGAACUCAAACAAUUCUUUAAGGGACGCAUUUAGUGAUAUAUUUAGAUGGAGGAUACUGGAAAGUGUUUUCAUUCAUUAAUAGGAUACUGUUGGGAGUUAUACUGCAAAAGGAAUGUCAUCAUGUAUUACUCAACCUCAAUAUUCUGCAGUAUAGACGUAUCCAGUUAUGCUGCUACAGCAAUAGUGGGUGUGGUAAACUUCUUGACUACUCUCAUCACUCUCUUUAUUGUCGACAAGGUUGAACGUAAGACCCUGUUGCUAGUUGGGGCACUUUGUAUCUAUACUGGCAGCUGGUCUCCUCAUUUAUAUCUUUAAUGUUGAUGAGGAGAGAGAGGAGGAGGAGAGACAGGUUGUUGGAUAUUUUGUGGCUCUCCUGAUUGUACUCUUUGUGUCUUUCUUUGCAUCUACCUGGGGGCCAGUUGUUUGGGUAAUGACUAGUGAAAUAUUCCCUCUCUCUGUUGGAGUUUUUGGGAACUUUGUGGUUGCUAUGGUAACCCCAUUACUUCUCGGUUCUGUACUAAAGACGGCCGGUACAUUCUACAUACUGGCAGGGUUUCUCUUUGCCUCAUUUUUAUUUGUGUUGCUAACACUUCCUGAAACAAAAGGAGAGAGUUUAGAGAGAACAAGAACAUAAAAAAUUUAAAAAAACAAGAUUGAGUAUAGCUGCAUGGGAAAAUGUGUUGUUGUCCAUGGUCUAAUGCUUGUAGGGUAAGGACUGCACAAGAAGAGGACACUGUAGCCAUUGUUGGUAUAAAGAAUGAGAACA
RNA transcript from Amphimedon queenslandica, 1470 nucleotides. RefSeq lists it as uncharacterized. The transcript is spliced from 11 exons. The record is from RefSeq and is a predicted model, not a curated record. NCBI's taxonomy places the organism in Eukaryota, Metazoa, Porifera, Demospongiae, Haplosclerida, Niphatidae.